GACGAACGCUGGCGGCGUGCCUAAUACAUGCAAGUUGAGCGAUGAAGAUUGGUGCUUGCACCAAUUUGAAGAGCAGCGAACGGGUGAGUAACGCGUGGGGAAUCUGCCUUUGAGCGGGGGACAACAUUUGGAAACGAAUGCUAAUACCGCAUAACAACUUUAAACAUAAGUUUUAAGUUUGAAAGAUGCAAUUGCAUCACUCAAAGAUGAUCCCGCGUUGUAUUAGCUAGUUGGUGAGUAAAGGCUCACCAAGGCGAUGAUACAUAGCCGACCUGAGAGGGUGAUCGGCCACAUUGGGACUGAGACACGGCCCAAACUCCUACGGGAGGCAGCAGUAGGGAAUCUUCGGCAAUGGACGAAAGUCUGACCGAGCAACGCCGCGUGAGUGAAGAAGGUUUUCGGAUCGUAAAACUCUGUUGGUAGAGAAGAACGUUGGUGAGAGUGGAAAGCUCAUCAAGUGACGGUAACUACCCAGAAAGGGACGGCUAACUACGUG
RNAcentral lists this ribosomal RNA (496 nucleotides) under uncultured bacterium. RNAcentral describes it as "partial 16S ribosomal RNA". It matches the Rfam family "Bacterial small subunit ribosomal RNA", at positions 28 to 507 of the family's 1533-position model. The record is from RNAcentral.